This 387-nucleotide ribosomal RNA is filed under the name uncultured bacterium. RNAcentral describes it as "bacterial SSU rRNA". It matches the Rfam family "Bacterial small subunit ribosomal RNA", at positions 30 to 416 of the family's 1533-position model. The record is from RNAcentral.
AUUGAACGCUGGCGGCAUGCUUUACACAUGCAAGUCGAACGGCAGCACGGGGGCAACCCUGGUGGCGAGUGGCGAACGGGUGAGUAAUACAUAGGAACGUGUCCUGAAAUGGGGGAUAGCUCGGCGAAAGCCGGAUUAAUACCGCAUACGAUCCACGGAUGAAAGCAGGGGAUUCGCAAGAACCUUGCGUUUCUGGAGCGGCCUAUGUCUGAUUAGCUAGUUGGCGGGGUAAAAGCCCACCAAGGCGACGAUCAGUAGCUGGUCUGAGAGGAUGAUCAGCCACACUGGGACUGAGACACGGCCCAGACUCCUACGGGAGGCAGCAGUGGGGAAUUUUGGACAAUGGGGCAACCCUGAUCCAGCCAUGCCGCGUGAGUGAAGAAGGCC